This 102-nucleotide non-coding RNA is filed under the name Shouchella lehensis G1. Its description in RNAcentral is "Bacillus lehensis G1 Purine riboswitch aptamer". It matches the Rfam family "Purine riboswitch aptamer". Rfam says of the family: Riboswitches are metabolite binding domains within certain messenger RNAs that serve as precision sensors for their corresponding targets. Allosteric rearrangement of mRNA structure is mediated by ligand binding, and this results in modulation of gene expression. Lineage: Bacteria; Bacillati; Bacillota; Bacilli; Caryophanales; Bacillaceae. The record is from Rfam by way of RNAcentral.
AUGAAAACGAAUAUAUCACCUCAUAUAAUCUCAGGGAUAUGGCCUGAACGUUUCUACCUAACGACCGUAAAUUGUUAGACUAUGGGGAAAGACAAAAGCGCU